RNAcentral lists this ribosomal RNA (251 nucleotides) under uncultured Chroococcidiopsis sp. Its description in RNAcentral is "partial 16S ribosomal RNA". It matches the Rfam family "Bacterial small subunit ribosomal RNA", at positions 796 to 1044 of the family's 1533-position model. The record is from RNAcentral. Lineage: Bacteria; Bacillati; Cyanobacteriota; Cyanophyceae; Chroococcidiopsidales; Chroococcidiopsidaceae.
CUAGCUGUAAACGAUGGAUACUAGGCGUUGAGAGUAUCGACCCUCUCAGUGUCGUAGCUAACGCGUUAAGUAUCCCGCCUGGGGAGUACGCGCGCAAGCGUGAAACUCAAAGGAAUUGGACGGGGGCCCGCACAAGCGGUGGAGUAUGUGGUUUAAUUCGAUGCAACGCGAAGAACCUUACCAGGGCUUGACAUGUCCGGAACCCUGCCCAAAGGCGGGGGUGCCUACGGGAACCGGAACACAGGUGGUGC